UGAGUAGCUCAGUUGGUGAGAGCGUACGGCUCAUACCCGUAAGGUCGACGGUUCGAAUCCAUCCUC
RNAcentral lists this transfer RNA (66 nucleotides) under bovine gut metagenome. It matches the Rfam family "tRNA", at positions 5 to 66 of the family's 71-position model. From Rfam's summary of the family: Transfer RNA (tRNA) molecules are approximately 80 nucleotides in length. Their secondary structure includes four short double-helical elements and three loops (D, anti-codon, and T loops). Further hydrogen bonds mediate the characteristic L-shaped molecular structure. tRNAs have two regions of fundamental functional importance: the anti-codon, which is responsible for specific mRNA codon recognition, and the 3' end, to which the tRNAs corresponding amino acid is attached (by aminoacyl-tRNA synthetases). tRNAs cope with the degeneracy of the genetic code in two manners: having more than one tRNA (with a specific anti-codon) for a particular amino acid; and 'wobble' base-pairing, i.e. permitting non-standard base-pairing at the 3rd anti-codon position. The record is from RNAcentral.